CCUACGGGUGGCUGCAGUGGGGAAUAUUGGACAAUGGGCGCAAGCCUGAUCCAGCCAUGCCGCGUGUGUGAAGAAGGCCUUCGGGUUGUAAAGCACUUUCAGUGAGGAGGAAAGCCUUGCGGCUAAUAACCGCGAGGAAGGACAUCACUCACAGAAGAAGCACCGGCUAACUCCGUGCCAGCAGCCGCGGUAAUACGGAGGGUGCGAGCGUUAAUCGGAAUUACUGGGCGUAAAGCGCGCGUAGGCGGUCUGUUAAGCCGGUUGUGAAAGCCCCGGGCUCAACCUGGGAACGGCAUCCGGAACUGGCAGGCUAGAGUGUAGUAGAGGAGGGUAGAAUUCCCGGUGUAGCGGUGAAAUGCGUAGAGAUCGGGAGGAAUACCAGUGGCGAAGGCGGCCUCCUGGACAGACACUGACGCUCAGGUGCGAAAGCGUGGGUAGCAAACAGGAUUAGAUACCCUAGUAGUC
This 465-nucleotide ribosomal RNA is filed under the name Vreelandella stevensii. RNAcentral's name for it is "partial 16S ribosomal RNA". It matches the Rfam family "Bacterial small subunit ribosomal RNA", at positions 338 to 795 of the family's 1533-position model. Lineage: Bacteria; Pseudomonadati; Pseudomonadota; Gammaproteobacteria; Oceanospirillales; Halomonadaceae. The record is from RNAcentral.